Molecule: ribosomal RNA, 362 nt
Filed under: uncultured bacterium
Lineage: Bacteria
Description: partial 16S ribosomal RNA
Rfam family: Bacterial small subunit ribosomal RNA
Source: RNAcentral
CCUACGGGGUGCAGCAGUGAGGAAUAUUGGUCAAUGGACGCAAGUCUGAACCAGCCAUGCCGCGUGCAGGAUGACGGCUCUAUGAGUUGUAAACUGCUUUUGUACGAGGGUAAACCCCGAUACGUGUAUCGGGAUGAAAGUAUCGUACGAAUAAGGAUCGGCUAACUCCGUGCCAGCAGCCGCGGUAAUACGGAGGAUGCGAGCGUUACCCGGAUUUAUUGGGUUUAAAGGGUGCGUAGGCGGUUUGAUGAGUUAGAGGUGAAAUGUCCGGGCUCAACCCCGGAACUGCCUCUGAUACUGUUGAACUAGAGAAUAGUUGAGGUAGGCGGAAUGUAUGGUGUAGCGGUGAAAUGCGUAGAGAU